Molecule: non-coding RNA, 46 nt
Organism: Felis catus (domestic cat)
Lineage: Eukaryota; Metazoa; Chordata; Mammalia; Carnivora; Felidae
Source: Rfam
GCACAGGCCCUCCUCAGGGCCAUCCAUGCCCACCACUAGGUCUUUU